Molecule: transfer RNA, 83 nt
Filed under: Euryarchaeota archaeon CG01_land_8_20_14_3_00_38_12
Lineage: Archaea; Methanobacteriati; Methanobacteriota
Description: tRNA-Leu
Source: RNAcentral
GGGAGUAGCCAAGCUUGGCCAACGGCGCAAGAUUCAGAGUCUUGUCCAGAAGUGGUUCUCCGGUUCAAAUCCGGACUCCCGCA